Molecule: ribosomal RNA, 433 nt
Filed under: uncultured bacterium
Lineage: Bacteria
Description: partial 16S ribosomal RNA
Rfam family: Bacterial small subunit ribosomal RNA
Source: RNAcentral
AACGAACGCUGGCGGCAUGCCUAACACAUGCAAGUCGAACGAGACCUUCGGGUCUAGUGGCGCACGGGUGCGUAACGCGUGGGAACCUGCCCUUAGGUUCGGAAUAACUCCCCGAAAGGGGUGCUAAUACCGGAUAAUGUCUUCGGACCGAAGAUUUAUCGCCUUUGGAUGGGCCCGCGUUGGAUUAGCUAGUUGGUAGGGUAAAAGCCUACCAAGGCGACGAUCCAUAGCUGGUCUGAGAGGAUGAUCAGCCACACUGGGACUGAGACACGGCCCAGACUCCUACGGGAGGCAGCAGUGGGGAAUAUUGGACAAUGGGCGAAAGCCUGAUCCAGCAAUGCCGCGUGAGUGAUGAAGGCCUUAGGGUUGUAAAGCUCUUUUACCCGGGAUGAUAAUGACAGUACCGGGAGAAUAAGCGCCGGCUAACUCCGUG